Molecule: long non-coding RNA, 2330 nt
Organism: Eriocheir sinensis (Chinese mitten crab)
Lineage: Eukaryota; Metazoa; Arthropoda; Malacostraca; Decapoda; Varunidae
Exons: 3
Source: RefSeq, a predicted model, not a curated record
GUGAGUAACAUUUGGAAUUUAAAAGUCGUGUGGCCAAUCGAGAGAGAGGGAGAAAAAGAUCACAACAAACUGCAAAACGACAACUAAAACAAAACAAUAUGAACAAAAAAAACAAUAACAAUGAGAGAAAUAAGACACUACCACCUACAGCAUAAGGAACAACGAUAACAACAAUACAAUUACCACUAAGAAGAAGAAGAAGAAGAAGAAGAAGGAAAACAACAACAACAACAACAACACUCCCUAACAUUAGCUAGGGGGGGGGGGGCACGAGAAGACGCAAACCACAGCACCUCUCAUGACGCUGGGUAGUUACCUUUUUUUAGGAUUCGUGCCCCGCGUUUCCUGCCGCGCCUCCUUCAGCCUCCCACAAGGUCACCGGCCCCCGCCAACCUGCAGGGACUCGGACAAAGCGGACCUCGGACCCCCAGGCGGCUAAGGAUCUGUCUACCCUGUCCCCCGUCCUGCCCCGGCCUGCCCCACCCACCCUGCCCGCCUACCCGUCCCCGGCCUGCCCUUCCCGUCCCUGCGAUUCCCUCCCGCCCACAUCUCUCCCUUUGUCAAGACUUCUUAUUCAAUGCCUCCCUGUUUGACCUGCUUCUAUGUGUGUGUGUGUGUGUGUGUGUGUGUGUGCGCGCGUGUGCGCGGUUCAUCAGGUUUUCAUACGUCACACAAUACAAGUUCUGAACGUGGUGAACGGGGGGAUGGAGGUGGGAGAAGAAUAAGAGAGUAUGGGAGAUAAGGAAAAUGAGAAGGUGAGAUAGAUGAGGGGGAGGGACAGGAACGAGAGGGUAUGGGAGAUAAUGGAAAUGAUGGAUGAGAGAGAGGAUGAGGGAGGAGAAAGUAUACGGGAGAUAAGGGAAAAAGAGGAUGACGGGGAUAGAUGAAGAGAAGGGAAGAUGGUGAUGCGUGAGGGGAAAGGUGAAUGAGAGAGAGAGAGAGGAAAGAAAGUUGAGGGAGAAGAAAGUUCGGAGAAAGGAAAGCGACAAGAGGAUAACAGGGGGGUGAGGGAGAGGAGGAUGAGGGAGGGUGAGGCAGAAGAGUAAUAUCAGAGAGAAAACGAAGACGCAGAAUGAGAUAGAAGAACAUAAAACAAAGGAAAACAAAAUGGAGUGAGAAAAAGAGGAAAUACGAGUAAGCGAGGGUAAGGGAGAAGAGGGUGAGGCAGGCAGGGAGUCAGGCAUUAAGGGAGGCAGGGAGGGUAAGGGAGGGAGGGAGAAGCAGCCUACUGACCUUUACGAGAGCUUACAAUACAUGCAUACAAGGCCAUACCACGUCGAUGUGUGUGCGUGUGUGUGUGUAUACAAAACGGUGUGACGCAUAGGUGACUCAUGCACACGGAAAGUUAAUUAAAGGUGUAGGAGAUAAUUAUGUCAGGUGUCUAUAAAAGCGUCUCGGGUCUGUAUGGGAAGUGUCACGUGUGUAAAGAAGGAACUAGAUGUGUAUUGGGGAGUGUCAGGUGUGCAUGGGAUCUGUCAGGUGUGUGUGGGAGUAUCAGGUGUGUGUGGAGAGAUGUCAUGUGUGUAUGGGAAACGUCAGGUGUGAAUGGAAAGAGUUAAUGCACAUGGGAAGGUGUGAAGGAUAUAUAGAAGUCAGAUGUGUAUGCGAGAGGAGGAGUCAGGUGUAUAGGGAAGGCGUGGAGUGAGAUCAGAUGUGUAUAUAAUAAAGUGCCACAUGUAAACGGUAAAAAUAUCUGGUGUUUAGGAGAGAAGUGUCAGUUGUGUAAAAGAUGUCAGAUGUGUGUAAGAGGAGCCAGGUGUAUAAGGAGGGCGUGGAGUGAGAUCAGGUGUGUAUAUAAUAAAGUGCCACAUGUAAACGGUAAAAAUAUCUGGUGUUUACGAGAGAAGUGUCAGCUGUGUGUAAGAGAAAGAUGUGUGUAAGAGGAGUCAGGUAUAUAUGGAAGUGUGCAUGGAUAGAUCAGGUGUGUAUAGAAGUGCCACCUGCAAAGAUAUCAGGUGUUUACGAGUGGAGUGUCAUGUGUGUAAGAGAAGGAUGAGUGGAAGGCUUGUACCAUAUGUGUGUGAGAAACGUCAGGUGUGUGGGCGGGGAGUUUGGAAAUUGGCGUUACGUGUGUGCUUUCAGGUGUGUAUGGGAACUGUCAGGUGUGUGUGUUGAACAUGUUUUGGAAUUGGUUUAAAGGUAUAGCUCUUUUAUUCAACGGGUGAGUGCAUGGCGUCCCCCCUCUUCUUCUCCGCCCCCUCCCCUCAUCUUCACGCUCCUUUAACUUCGUAUCCCCAACCUAAAAAAAAACGUAAUAUUUGCCAAACUCACUUUCAAUCGCACCGUAUUUGUCGUUCCCCCGCCCUUCCCUCUCCUUGCUCCUCUCUCCC